AUUGCAAAUUUAAUAAAGACUAAUAGUGAAAAUCAAUGGUGGCAUUACACUUUUAGACGGAUUUUCAUUGAGUUUUUGGCCUAGGUAUACCUACAAAAUGUCGAUAAUCUUUAUCGCCGAAACGUACAUAAAUGUUGCUAAAAAGACAAUUGACGGCUUCAAUCAUCUCAUCACAACUUCAGUUAGUAUGUUGAGCAUAUUUACGUAUUCAUGCUUAAUAAAAUAGAUAUGUUUUUGGUGUAAAACAUGAAAAAGAUCACAAUAUUCUGUGACGUUCAAUGUUGUACAUUACGGCCUGAUUGCUGGAAAAACAUACCAAAAGUCGCUCAGAAUCUGGACUUAUACACAUACAACUGAAAUCCUUGAGGUCGUCUUCCUCCUUAUCUAUAAGAAUUCUGCUAUUUAAUCCGCACGGCGAAAUUAUAUAUAUAGAGUUAUUAAAUUUGCUGAAAACAUAAACAUAUUUUCUCUUAUCAACUGCAAUUCCUACUGGCAUUUUUACUCUAUCGGGAUACAUCCAUAUUUGUUUUCCGAAUAAAUCAUAGCAUAGAACCUCAUCGUCUUUCUCAUGUACACUAUAAAUUUCAUUGUUUCUACAUGUAAAGCGUUCGCCCCGUAUUUUCAAAGACCCAUUUGUGUUGCCCUCUAAGUCUGCAACGACGACAUUAUCCUUACGUGGAAAUCCUACAAUC
Molecule: long non-coding RNA, 692 nt
Filed under: Mytilus galloprovincialis (Mediterranean mussel)
Lineage: Eukaryota; Metazoa; Mollusca; Bivalvia; Mytilida; Mytilidae
Source: RNAcentral